This is a long non-coding RNA of Sinocyclocheilus anshuiensis, 1114 nucleotides long. RefSeq lists it as uncharacterized. The transcript has 4 exons. NCBI's taxonomy places the organism in Eukaryota, Metazoa, Chordata, Actinopteri, Cypriniformes, Cyprinidae. The record is from RefSeq and is a predicted model, not a curated record.
AUGUAUUUUCAUAGUUAUUGUUCUCAAGAUGUCUGUUUAUAUUUAGUCUUCCACGCCUGUGGCAUGUUAUGUUUGUUCAUUUCUGUUUGCCUGUGUGCUUGUAUUGUGGCAUUACGACAUUUUAAAACAUGGAAAUCAGAUGGAGGAACCCUUCGCCGCCACCCCUUAAAGGUGAGCAUGUGCCAACAGUUGCCAGCCCCCCCGCCGCUCUAUUUCCAUGCCAACACGAAAGGCUCUCAAAUCGUGAUGGACAAGAUGCAGCGCAGCGUGCGCUGAAUUGCCAGCUUUUGCAAUGCCAUCACCUUCACCAACCGGCCAGUCAGAAUCUAUGAACAGGUCCGGCUCAAGAUCACAAAGAAACAGGGAUGUUGGAGUGGUGCCCUCCGAGUGGGUUUCAGUUCGGUGGAUCCAUCAGAUUUAAGUUCAGCAUGGCUGCCACGGUUCGCCUGCCCAGAUUUAGUUAGCGAAAGGGGAUUUUGGGCCCGAGCGUUUCCUGAGGAACAAUGUGAAGAAGGAACCAUUUUGUCCUUCUGGUUGGAUAACACAGGACGAGUGUUUUACCGGGUAAACAGCGGCCCUCCGAUCUUCUUCUUCGGCGGUGUACCAGCCGGAGAGCCGGUUUGGGCGAUCAUUGACAUAUAUGGGCUGACACGUGGAGUACAGCUACUAGUUCAGAUGACAUGCCAUUCAGAGUUUGCGCCGAGUGGAACUGCUGAGCUCCGGGACAGGCAUGUAAUCUGGGCCAGUAUCUGAGCUGUGCUUCACUGAGUACGUGCUGAUUGUUCGAUGAGUUGUAAAGUUCACAGAGGCCAGUGUGUUUUUGCUGUGCUGAGCACGUUUAAACGAUUUAAAUUCACAACAUUUAAAAAUAGAAUUCUAGAUUUAUACCCUCUUAUCCUAAUUACAAAAACUGCCCAAUGGAAAAAGAUGGGAGAGAUUGGAGCAGUUGCCUAGCAACACUUUCACUUUUAAAAUGAAAAACAUAUGCCGGGGAAUUCCAGAAUGCUGGCAAAGUGAGAAAAACAAUUUGUGCUUAACACAAUCAAUAAACCCAGUUGAAUGGAAAAUUAGUAUUCCAUUCAUAAUUUAGUUGUAGUGAUAUUCUGUAGGAACA